This 235-nucleotide long non-coding RNA is filed under the name Nicotiana benthamiana. Its description in RNAcentral is "long non-coding RNA (NBEN_LNC001305)". The record is from RNAcentral. Lineage: Eukaryota; Viridiplantae; Streptophyta; Magnoliopsida; Solanales; Solanaceae.
UUUGUAGUCUGAUAUGAUGAUAUAUUAUUUGUCAAGUAUGAUAUGAUGCUAUAUUAGUUAUUAUGGCAGUGCUGAAGAAACAAAGAUUUUAGUAAAGCAGCAAUUUUAUAUGCAGACCUCAAAGAUUGGCUUGAGUAUUGGUUUACUUUCAUCAGUAACUCAAUUCAUAUGGUCAAACUCAACCUAUCUCAACACCGAGGGUUUUGAUUGAUUGAUGAUGAAGGUUAUUAACCAC